UACGUAGGGUGCGAGCGUUAAUCGGAAUUACUGGGCGUAAAGCGUGCGCAGGCGGUUCGUUAUGUCCGAUGUGAAAGCCCCGAGCUCAACUUGGGAAUGGCAUUGGAAACUGGCGGGCUGGAGUGUGGCAGAGGGGGGUGGAAUUCCACGUGUAGCAGUGAAAUGCGUAGAUAUCGGGAGGAACACCUGUGGCGAAAGCGGCGCACUGGACCACAACUGACGCUGAGGCGCGAAGGCGUGGGGAGCGAACGGG
RNAcentral lists this ribosomal RNA (253 nucleotides) under uncultured bacterium. Its description in RNAcentral is "partial 16S ribosomal RNA". It matches the Rfam family "Bacterial small subunit ribosomal RNA", at positions 524 to 776 of the family's 1533-position model. The record is from RNAcentral.